RNAcentral lists this ribosomal RNA (497 nucleotides) under uncultured bacterium. RNAcentral's name for it is "partial 16S ribosomal RNA". It matches the Rfam family "Bacterial small subunit ribosomal RNA", at positions 28 to 507 of the family's 1533-position model. The record is from RNAcentral.
GACGAACGCUGGCGGCGUGCCUAAUACAUGCAAGUUGAGCGCUGAAGGUUGGUACUUGUACCAACUGGAUGAGCAGCGAACGGGUGAGUAACGCGUGGGGAAUCUGCCUUUGAGCGGGGGACAACAUUUGGAAACGAAUGCUAAUACCGCAUAAAAACUUUAAACACAAGUUUUAAGUUUGAAAGAUGCAAUUGCAUCACUCAAAGAUGAUCCCGCGUUGUAUUAGCUAGUUGGUGAGGUAAAGGCUCACCAAGGCGAUGAUACAUAGCCGACCUGAGAGGGGGGUCGGCCACAUUGGGACUGGGGCACGGCCCAAACUCCUACGGGAGGCAGCAGGAGGGGAUCUUCGGCAAUGGACGGAAGUCUGAACGGGCAACGCCGCGUGAGUGAAGAAGGGUUUCGGAUCGUAAAACUCUGUUGGUAGAGAAGAACGUUGGUGAGAGUGGAAAGCUCAUCAAGUGACGGUAACUACUCAGAAAGGGACGGCUAACUACGUG